GUCUACAGCCAUACCACCCUGAACGCGCCUGAUCUCGUCUGAUCUCGGAAGCUAAGCUAAGGGUCGGGCCUGGUUAGUACUUGGAUGGGAGAAUGAGCUUUUAAAUC
RNAcentral lists this ribosomal RNA (107 nucleotides) under Mustela putorius furo (domestic ferret). Lineage: Eukaryota; Metazoa; Chordata; Mammalia; Carnivora; Mustelidae. The record is from RNAcentral.